GUGGGCUGGGGAGAGUUCAAGGAGCAUAGAGGCAAAAUGGGGAAAUGGUAAAGGAAUAAAUCUGUUGCUUACUUUUCAGAAAACCUUCUCAACGAGACUUCAAGGCAUGCGUCACACUUUGCAUUUCUUUUUGCAUUUAAGGAGACCAGAGCUCCACAAAUGGUGCAUGGCCCCACCUGAGAAGCAGGCUGCUGAAAACACUAAACCUCAGAUGCUCCUUCCUGGGGAAAAAGAGCUGCAGGGGAAUUGCAUCCGGAUACACAGUUAUCAUAACUUCUUGAUCUUCCA
RNAcentral lists this long non-coding RNA (288 nucleotides) under Capra hircus (goat). Its description in RNAcentral is "lncRNA (ENSCHIG00000001168.1)". Lineage: Eukaryota; Metazoa; Chordata; Mammalia; Artiodactyla; Bovidae. The record is from RNAcentral.